RNAcentral lists this ribosomal RNA (505 nucleotides) under uncultured bacterium. RNAcentral describes it as "partial 16S ribosomal RNA". It matches the Rfam family "Bacterial small subunit ribosomal RNA", at positions 28 to 507 of the family's 1533-position model. The record is from RNAcentral.
GACGAACGCUGGCGGCGUGCCUAAUACAUGCAAGUAGAACGCACAGUUUAUACCGUAGCUUGCUACACCAUAAACUGUGAGUUGCGAACGGGUGAGUAACGCGUAGGUAACCUGCCUGGUAGCGGGGGAUAACUAUUGGAAACGAUAGCUAAUACCGCAUAAUAUUAAUUAUUGCAUGAUAAUUGAUUGAAAGAUGCAAUUGCAUCACUACCAGAUGGACCUGCGUUGUAUUAGCUAGUAGGUGAGGUAACGGCUCACCUAGGCGACGAUACAUAGCCGACCUGAGAGGGUGAUCGGCCACACUGGGACUGGGACACGGCCCAGACUCCUACGGGAGGCAGCAGUAGGGAAUCUUCGGAAAUGGACGAAAGUCUGACCGAGCAACGCCGCGUGAGUGAAGAAGGUUUUCGGAUCGUAAAGCUCUGUUGUAAGAGAAGAACGGGUGUGAGAGUGGAAAGUUCACACUGUGACGGUAUCUUACCAGAAAGAGACGGCUAACUACGUG